Molecule: ribosomal RNA, 456 nt
Filed under: uncultured bacterium
Lineage: Bacteria
Description: SSU rRNA
Rfam family: Bacterial small subunit ribosomal RNA
Source: RNAcentral
AGAACGAACGCUGGCGGCGUGCCUAACACAUGCAAGUCGAACGUGAUCCAGGCUUCGGCCUGGUGAAAGUGGCAGACGGGUGAGUAACGCGUGGGAACCUGCCCUGUGGUAGGGAAUAACCGUGGGAAACUGCGGCUAAUACCCUAUGAGUCCUUCGGGAGAAAGAUUUAUCGCCAUAGGAGGGGCCCGCGUCGGAUUAGGUAGUUGGUGGGGUAACGGCCUACCAAGCCUUCGAUCCGUAGCUGGUCUGAGAGGAUGAUCAGCCACACUGGGACUGAGAUACGGCCCAGACUCCUACGGGAGGCAGCAGUGGGGAAUAUUGGACAAUGGGCGCAAGCCUGAUCCAGCCAUGCCGCGUGAGUGAUGAAGGCCCUAGGGUUGUAAAGCUCUUUUGUGCGGGAAGAUAAUGACGGUACCGCAAGAAUAAGCCCCGGCUAACUUCGCGCCAGCAGCCGC